RNAcentral lists this transfer RNA (75 nucleotides) under bacterium. RNAcentral's name for it is "tRNA-Val". It matches the Rfam family "tRNA". Rfam says of the family: Transfer RNA (tRNA) molecules are approximately 80 nucleotides in length. The record is from RNAcentral.
GGGCGGAUAGCUCAGCUGGCCGAGAGCGCCUGGUUUACACCCAGGAGGUCAGAGGUUCGAAUCCUCUUUCGCCCA